RNAcentral lists this ribosomal RNA (507 nucleotides) under uncultured Edaphobacter sp. RNAcentral's name for it is "bacterial SSU rRNA". It matches the Rfam family "Bacterial small subunit ribosomal RNA", at positions 338 to 861 of the family's 1533-position model. Lineage: Bacteria; Pseudomonadati; Acidobacteriota; Terriglobia; Terriglobales; Acidobacteriaceae. The record is from RNAcentral.
CCUACGGGAGGCAGCAGUGGGGAAUUUUGCGCAAUGGGGGAAACCCUGACGCAGCAACGCCGCGUGGAGGAUGAAAUCCCUUGGGAUGUAAACUCCUUUCGAUAGGGAAGAUAAUGACGGUACCUAUAGAAGAAGCCCCGGCUAACUUCGUGCCAGCAGCCGCGGUAAUACGAGGGGGGCAAGCGUUGUUCGGAAUUAUUGGGCGUAAAGGGUGCGUAGGCGGUUUGACAAGUCUUAUGUGAAAUCUUCGGGCUCAACCCGAAGUCUGCAUGGGAAACUGUCGGGCUUGAGUAUGGGAGAGGUGAGUGGAAUUUCCGGUGUAGCGGUGAAAUGCGUAGAUAUCGGAAGGAACACCUGUGGCGAAAGCGGCUCACUGGACCAUAACUGACGCUGAUGCACGAAAGCUAGGGGAGCAAACAGGAUUAGAUACCCUGGUAGUCCUAGCCCUAAACGAUGAUUGUUUGAUGUGGGGGGUACCCAAUCCUCCCGUGUCGAAGCUAACGCGAU